GCCGGGCAUAGUGGUGGGUGCCUGUAAUCCUAGCUACUUAGGAGGCUGAGGCAGGAGAAUCGCUUGAACCCAGGAGGCGGAGAUUGCAGUGAGCCGAGAUCACACCACUGCACUCCAGCCUGGGUGACAGAGUGAAACUCUGUCUCAA
RNAcentral lists this non-coding RNA (148 nucleotides) under Pan troglodytes (chimpanzee). The record is from Rfam by way of RNAcentral. Lineage: Eukaryota; Metazoa; Chordata; Mammalia; Primates; Hominidae.